Molecule: ribosomal RNA, 1121 nt
Filed under: Arenibacter echinorum
Lineage: Bacteria; Pseudomonadati; Bacteroidota; Flavobacteriia; Flavobacteriales; Flavobacteriaceae
Description: bacterial SSU rRNA
Rfam family: Bacterial small subunit ribosomal RNA
Source: RNAcentral
UGAGACACGGACCAGACUCCUACGGGAGGCAGCAGUGAGGAAUAUUGGACAAUGGGCGGGAGCCUGAUCCAGCCAUGCCGCGUGCAGGAAGACGGUCCUAUGGAUUGUAAACUGCUUUUGUACGGGAAGAACAAGGGGCACGUGUGCCCCUCUGACGGUACCGUAAGAAUAAGGAUCGGCUAACUCCGUGCCAGCAGCCGCGGUAAUACGGAGGAUCCGAGCGUUAUCCGGAAUCAUUGGGUUUAAAGGGUCCGUAGGCGGGCCAUUAAGUCAGGGGUGAAAGUCUGCGGCUCAACCGUAGAAUUGCCCUUGAUACUGGUGGUCUUGAGUUAUGGUGAAGUAACUAGAAUAUGUAGUGUAGCGGUGAAAUGCAUAGAUAUUACAUAGAAUACCGAUUGCGAAGGCAGGUUACUAACCAUAUACUGACGCUGAUGGACGAAAGCGUGGGGAGCGAACAGGAUUAGAUACCCUGGUAGUCCACGCCGUAAACGAUGGAUACUAGCUGUCCGGAUGCAAAUCUGGGCGGCCAAGCGAAAGUGAUAAGUAUCCCACCUGGGGAGUACGUCCGCAAGGAUGAAACUCAAAGGAAUUGACGGGGGCCCGCACAAGCGGUGGAGCAUGUGGUUUAAUUCGAUGAUACGCGAGGAACCUUACCAGGGCUUAAAUGUGGUCUGACAGCUUUAGAGAUAGAGCCUCCUUCGGGCAGAUCACAAGGUGCUGCAUGGUUGUCGUCAGCUCGUGCCGUGAGGUGUCAGGUUAAGUCCUAUAACGAGCGCAACCCCUGCCGUUAGUUGCCAGCAUGUAAAGAUGGGGACUCUAACGGGACUGCCGGUGCAAACCGCGAGGAAGGUGGGGAUGACGUCAAAUCAUCACGGCCCUUACGUCCUGGGCCACACACGUGCUACAAUGGCCGGUACAGAGAGCAGCCACUGGGCAACCAGGAGCGAAUCUAUAAAACCGGUCACAGUUCGGAUCGGGGUCUGCAACUCGACCCCGUGAAGCUGGAAUCGCUAGUAAUCGGAUAUCAGCCAUGAUCCGGUGAAUACGUUCCCGGGCCUUGUACACACCGCCCGUCAAGCCAUGGAAGCCGGGAGUGCCUGAAGUCCGUCACCGCAAGGAGC